RNAcentral lists this ribosomal RNA (572 nucleotides) under Meyerozyma guilliermondii. Its description in RNAcentral is "eukaryotic LSU rRNA". It matches the Rfam family "Eukaryotic large subunit ribosomal RNA", at positions 43 to 632 of the family's 3401-position model. Lineage: Eukaryota; Fungi; Ascomycota; Pichiomycetes; Serinales; Debaryomycetaceae. The record is from RNAcentral.
UCAAUAAGCGGAGGAAAAGAAACCAACAGGGAUUGCCUUAGUAGCGGCGAGUGAAGCGGCAAAAGCUCAAAUUUGAAAUCUGGCGCCUUCGGUGUCCGAGUUGUAAUUUGAAGAUUGUAACCUUGGGGUUGGCUCUUGUCUAUGUUUCUUGGAACAGGACGUCACAGAGGGUGAGAAUCCCGUGCGAUGAGAUGCCCAAUUCUAUGUAAGGUGCUUUCGAAGAGUCGAGUUGUUUGGGAAUGCAGCUCUAAGUGGGUGGUAAAUUCCAUCUAAAGCUAAAUAUUGGCGAGAGACCGAUAGCGAACAAGUACAGUGAUGGAAAGAUGAAAAGAACUUUGAACAGAGAGUGAAAAAGUACGUGAAAUUGUUGAAAGGGAAGGGUUUGAGAUCAGACUCGAUAUUUUGUGAGCCUUGCCUUCGUGGCGGGGUGACCCGCAGCUUAUCGGGCCAGCAUCGGUUUGGGCGGUAGGAUAAUGGCGUAGGAAUGUGACUUUACUUCGGUGAAGUGUUAUAGCCUGCGUUGAUGCUGCCUGCCUAGACCGAGGACUGCGAUUUUAUCGGGAUGCUGGCAU